This 372-nucleotide ribosomal RNA is filed under the name uncultured organism. RNAcentral's name for it is "partial 16S ribosomal RNA". It matches the Rfam family "Bacterial small subunit ribosomal RNA", at positions 527 to 896 of the family's 1533-position model. The record is from RNAcentral.
GUAGGUGGCAAGCGUUGUCCGGAAUUAUUGGGCGUAAAGCGCGCGCAGGCGGUUCUUUAAGUCUGAUGUGAAAGCCCACGGCUCAGCCGUGGAGGGUCAUUGGAAACUGGAGAACUUGAGUACAGAAGAGGAAAGCGGAAUUCCACGUGUAGCGGUGAAAUGCGUAGAGAUGUGGAGGAACACCAGUGGCGAAGGCGGCUUUCUGGUCUGUAACUGACGCUGAGGCGCGAAAGCGUGGGGGAGCAAACAGGAUUAGAUACCCUGGUAGUCCACGCCGUAAACGAUGAGUGCUAAGUGUUAGGGGGUUUUCCGCCCCUUAGUGCUGCAGCUAACGCAUUAAGCACUCCGCCUGGGAGUACGGCCGCAAGGCUG